CCCUGCAUUCGAAAGUGAUCAUGGGCUGCCCGUGCCCUGGUCAUCGAUAGUGCAGGGAAAGGAGUCGUUGAAAGCCUUUCCCCGUGUUUGGAGGGUCCACUCCUGUCCCUUCCAAACCCUGGCGCUUUCCCACA
Otolemur garnettii (small-eared galago) is the source of this 134-nucleotide small nucleolar RNA. Its record names the gene SNORA71. It matches the Rfam family "Small nucleolar RNA SNORA71". Rfam says of the family: The members of this family belong to the H/ACA class of snoRNAs which bind a number of proteins (including dyskerin, Gar1p and Nop10p) to form snoRNP complexes. This class of snoRNAs are thought to guide the sites of modification of uridines to pseudouridines by forming direct base pairing interactions with substrate RNAs. NCBI's taxonomy places the organism in Eukaryota, Metazoa, Chordata, Mammalia, Primates, Galagidae. The record is from Ensembl.